AUUGAACGCUGGCGGCAGGCUUAACACAUGCAAGUCGAGCGGGGGAAGGUAGCUUGCUACCGGACCUAGCGGCGGACGGGUGAGUAAUGCUUAGGAAUCUGCCUAUUAGUGGGGGACAACAUCUCGAAAGGGAUGCUAAUACCGCAUACGUCCUACGGGAGAAAGCAGGGGACCUUCGGACCUUGCGCUAAUAGAUGAGCCUAAGUCGGAUUAGCUAGUUGGUGGGGUAAAGGCCUACCAAGGCGACGAUCUGUAGCGGGUCUGAGAGGAUGACCCGCCACACUGGGACUGAGACACGGCCCAGACUCCUACGGGAGGCAGCAGUGUGGAAUAUUGGACAAUGGGGGGAACCCUGAUCCAGCCAUGCCGCGUGUGUGAAGAAGGCCUUAUGGUUGUAAAGCACUUUAAGCGAGGAGGAGGCUACUUUAGUUAAUACCUAGAGAUAGUGGACGUUACUCGCAGAAUAAGCACCGGCUAACUCUGUGCCAGCCGCCGCCGUAA
Molecule: ribosomal RNA, 501 nt
Filed under: uncultured bacterium
Lineage: Bacteria
Description: partial 16S ribosomal RNA
Rfam family: Bacterial small subunit ribosomal RNA
Source: RNAcentral